AUACGAAGGGGGCUAGCGUUGUUCGGAAUUACUGGGCGUAAAGCGCGCGUAGGCGGACUGAUCAGUUGGGGGUGAAAUCCCAGGGCUUAACCCUGGAACUGCCUCCAAUACUGUCAGUCUUGAGUUCGGGAGAGGUGAGUGGAAUUCCUAGUGUAGAGGUGAAAUUCGUAGAUAUUAGGAAGAACACCAGUGGCGAAGGCGGCUCACUGGCCCGAUACUGACGCUGAGGCGCGAAAGCGUGGGGAGCAAACAGGAUUAGAAACCCUAGUAGUCCC
This 275-nucleotide ribosomal RNA is filed under the name uncultured bacterium. Its description in RNAcentral is "partial 16S ribosomal RNA". It matches the Rfam family "Bacterial small subunit ribosomal RNA", at positions 523 to 797 of the family's 1533-position model. The record is from RNAcentral.